Molecule: ribosomal RNA, 440 nt
Filed under: uncultured bacterium
Lineage: Bacteria
Description: partial 16S ribosomal RNA
Rfam family: Bacterial small subunit ribosomal RNA
Source: RNAcentral
CCUACGGGUGGCAGCAGUGGGGAAUAUUGCACAAUGGGGGGAACCCUGAUGCAGCAAUGCCGCGUGGGGGAAGAAGCACUCCGGUGCGUAAAGCCCUGUCAGCAGGGAAGAAAAUGACAGUACCUGACCAAGAAGCCCCGGCUAACUACGUGCCAGCAGCCGCGGUAAUACGUAGGGGGCAAGCGUUAUCCGGAUGCACUGGGUGUAAAGGGAGCGUAGACGGGCAGGCAAGCCUGGAGUGAAAGCCCGGGGCCCAACCCCGGGACUGCUCUGGGAACUGUCCGGCUGGAGUGCGGGAGGGGCAGGCGGAAUUCGUGGUGUAGCGGUGAAAUGCGUAGAUAUCAGGAAGAACACCGGCGGCGAAGGCGGCCUGCUGGACCGCGACUGACGUUGAGGCUCGAAAGCGUGGGGAGCGAACAGGAUUAGAUACCCGAGUAGUC